UGAGGCCAGGAGGGUGCGGCUUCCGCGCUGGCCGGCCCUGCGCGGGCCUCCCGGGUCCUCUCGGGUGCCUCCGCCCCUCUCCAAAUCGCUGUGGUGCGGCCGAGGCUUCCCACCCGCGGCCUCUGACGGAGGGCUGGGCGCGAGCUAGCGGGUUCUCGCGGCCCCGGUCGGCUGCGAGCGCCGUCCUGACCCAGCCAGACCCAGGACCCCCGGGCUUGCUGCGCCUGACUGGGUCGAGGGCACGAAAACACCAUUCCAGAACUCAUCCGGCCCAUUUUCUGUCGGUGUAGGCCCAGAAAAAUCCCACGGCGGUCCGUUUUUGUUCUGAAGCCAUUAAAGUGCCACUACUAACGCGAUUGUUCCAGAUACUCCACGUCGCUGAAUUCAAAGUGGUCAUUGUUGGGUCGCAUCAGGUGUAUUUGAAACAGAUACUCUUUCUCCUUUGCUGCCACCAGCCACUCUGCACAGAUCAUUAAACAAUGGCCUGAUGUCAGAAAACUGGAGUGACUUUAUGGCUCUCAGUUUUCUCAUCUGUGAAAAGGCCACUUCAUCCAGUCUUGGUGUUCAUCUGAUAUACUAAAGCAGAACAUGGGGGAAAAUCCAAGUGAUAAUCUCGAGCUGAAUAUCUUAAAGAACAAGAGCUCACAAAAAAAUUAUUGGAUAAGACAUCUUCUGGGCAGGUGUAAGAGACAUCUUAGAGAAAGACUGGUAUGGUUUUAAAGAGCUUCACUUUCAUGCAACAGAUUUAUGAAAACUUGUAAGCUCAAUAUGGAUAACAAGGUACCAUUCUUUAAAGCAUCAAGGAUGCUUUUUAUGCAGGUAAUUAUUUUU
Canis lupus familiaris (dog) is the source of this 831-nucleotide long non-coding RNA. RefSeq lists it as uncharacterized. Lineage: Eukaryota; Metazoa; Chordata; Mammalia; Carnivora; Canidae. The record is from RefSeq and is a predicted model, not a curated record. The transcript has 4 exons.